GAUGAACGCUAGCGGCAGGCCUAAUACAUGCAAGUCGAACGGGAUCCAGAUCAAAGCUUGCUUUGGUCUGGUGAGAGUGGCGCACGGGUGCGUAACGCGUGAGCAACCUACCCUUGUCAGGGGGAUAGCCCGGCGAAAGUCGGAUUAAUACCGCAUGACAUCAUUGAGAGGCAUCUUUCGAUGAUCAAAGAUUUAUCGGACAAGGAUGGGCUCGCGUGACAUUAGCUCGUUGGUAAGGUAACGGCUUACCAAGGCUGCGAUGUCUAGGGGCUCUGAGAGGAGAAUCCCCCACACUGGUACUGAGACACGGACCAGACUCCUACGGGAGGCAGCAGUAAGGAAUAUUGGUCAAUGGACGGAAGUCUGAACCAGCCAUGCCGCGUGCAGGAGGACGGCCCUAUGGGUUGUAAACUGCUUUUAUACGGGAACAAACGUCGGUACGUGUACCGGUCUGAGUGUACCGUAAGAAUAAGGGUCGGCUAACUCCGUG
RNAcentral lists this ribosomal RNA (490 nucleotides) under uncultured bacterium. RNAcentral's name for it is "partial 16S ribosomal RNA". It matches the Rfam family "Bacterial small subunit ribosomal RNA", at positions 28 to 507 of the family's 1533-position model. The record is from RNAcentral.